This 301-nucleotide ribosomal RNA is filed under the name uncultured bacterium. RNAcentral's name for it is "partial 16S ribosomal RNA". It matches the Rfam family "Bacterial small subunit ribosomal RNA", at positions 509 to 807 of the family's 1533-position model. The record is from RNAcentral.
CAGUAGCCGCGGUAACACAGAGGGUGCAAGCGUUAAUCGGAAUUACUGGGCGUAAAGCGCGCGUAGGUGGUUUGUUAAGUUGGAUGUGAAAGCCCCGGGCUCAACCUGGGAACUGCAUCCAAAACUGGCAAGCUAGAGUACGGUAGAGGGUGGUGGAAUUUCCUGUGUAGCGGUGAAAUGCGUAGAUAUAGGAAGGAACACCAGUGGCGAAGGCGACCACCUGGACUGAUACUGACACUGAGGUGCGAAAGCGUGGGGAGCAAACAGGAUUAGAUACCCCAGUAGUCCCUGUCUCUUAUAC